UACGGGGGGGGCAAGCGUUGUUCGGAAUUACUGGGCGUAAAGGGCUCGUAGGCGGCCAACUAAGUCAUACGUGAAAUCCCUCGGCUUAACCGGGGAACUGCGUCUGAUACUGGAUGGCUUGAGUUCGGGAGAGGGAUGCGGAAUUCCAGGUGUAGCGGUGAAAUGCGUAGAUAUCUGGAGGAACACCGGUGGCGAAGGCGGAUCUCUGGGCCUUACCUGACGCUCAGGUGCGAAAGCUAGGGGAGCGAACAGG
Molecule: ribosomal RNA, 253 nt
Filed under: uncultured bacterium
Lineage: Bacteria
Description: partial 16S ribosomal RNA
Rfam family: Bacterial small subunit ribosomal RNA
Source: RNAcentral